CCUACGGGCGGCUGCAGUGGGGAAUAUUGCACAAUGGGCGCAAGCCUGAUGCAGCCAUGCCGCGUGUGUGAAGAAGGCCUUCGGGUUGUAAAGCACUUUCAGCGGGGAGGAAGGCGUUAAGGUUAAUAACCUUGGCGAUUGACGUUACCCGCAGAAGAAGCACCGGCUAACUCCGUGCCAGCAGCCGCGGUAAUACGGAGGGUGCAAGCGUUAAUCGGAAUUACUGGGCGUAAAGCGCACGCAGGCGGUCUGUCAAGUCGGAUGUGAAAUCCCCGGGCUCAACCUGGGAACUGCAUUCGAAACUGGCAGGCUAGAGUCUUGUAGAGGGGGGUAGAAUUCCAGGUGUAGCGGUGAAAUGCGUAGAAAUCUGGAGGAAUACCGGUGGCGAAGGCGGCCCCCUGGACAAAGACUGACGCUCAGGUGCGAAAGCGUGGGGAGCAAACAGGAUUAGAUACCCUAGUAGUC
Molecule: ribosomal RNA, 465 nt
Filed under: uncultured Klebsiella sp.
Lineage: Bacteria; Pseudomonadati; Pseudomonadota; Gammaproteobacteria; Enterobacterales; Enterobacteriaceae
Description: bacterial SSU rRNA
Rfam family: Bacterial small subunit ribosomal RNA
Source: RNAcentral